This 91-nucleotide non-coding RNA is filed under the name Pseudocercospora eumusae. RNAcentral describes it as "Mycosphaerella eumusae Eukaryotic large subunit ribosomal RNA". It matches the Rfam family "Eukaryotic large subunit ribosomal RNA", at positions 1221 to 1311 of the family's 3401-position model. Lineage: Eukaryota; Fungi; Ascomycota; Dothideomycetes; Mycosphaerellales; Mycosphaerellaceae. The record is from Rfam by way of RNAcentral.
GUGUUAGUUCAUCUAGACAGCAGAACGGUGGCCAUGGAAGUCGAAAUCCGCUAAGGAGUGUGUAACAACUCACCUGCCGAAUGAACUAGCC